CGGGUGAGUAACACGUGACUAACCUACCUCCGAGUUCGGAAUAACUUCGGGAAACCGAGGCUAAUACCGGAUGAUGUCUAAGGACCAAAGGGGCAACUCGCUUGGAGAGGGGGUCGCGGCUGAUUAGCUAGUUGGUGGGGUAAUGGCCCACCAAGGCAAUGAUCAGUAUCCGGCCUGAGAGGGCGCACGGACACACUGGAACUGAAACACGGUCCAGACUCCUACGGGAGGCAGCAGUGGGGAAUUUUGCACAAUGGGGGAAACCCUGAUGCAGCAAUGCCGCGUGGAGGAUGAAGUUCUUUGGAACGUAAACUCCUUUCGAUCGGGACGAUAAUGACGGUACCGGAAGAAGAAGCCCCGGCUAACUCUGUGCCAGCAGCCGCGGUAAUACAGAGGGGGCAAGCGUUGUUCGGAAUUAUUGGGCGUAAAGGGUGCGUAGGCGGUGCGGUAAGUCUUUUGUGAAAUCUCCGGGCUCAACUCGGAGCCUGCAAAGGAUACUGUCGUGCUUGAGUAUGGGAGAGGUGAGUGGAAUUCCUGGUGUAGCGGUGAAAUGCGUAGAUAUCAGGAGGAACACCUGUGGCGAAAGCGGCUCACUGGACCAUCACUGACGCUGAUGCACGAAAGCUAGGGGAGCAAACAGGAUUAGAUACCCUGGUAGUCCUAGCCCUAAACGAUGAUUGCUUGGUGUAGCGGGUACCCAAUCCCGCUGUGCCGUAGCUAACGCGUUAAGCAAUCCGCC
RNAcentral lists this ribosomal RNA (739 nucleotides) under Acidobacteria bacterium IP-42G. Its description in RNAcentral is "bacterial SSU rRNA". It matches the Rfam family "Bacterial small subunit ribosomal RNA", at positions 103 to 873 of the family's 1533-position model. Lineage: Bacteria; Pseudomonadati; Acidobacteriota. The record is from RNAcentral.